Tyto alba (common barn owl) is the source of this 2432-nucleotide long non-coding RNA. RefSeq lists it as uncharacterized. NCBI's taxonomy places the organism in Eukaryota, Metazoa, Chordata, Aves, Strigiformes, Tytonidae. The transcript is spliced from 4 exons. The record is from RefSeq and is a predicted model, not a curated record.
CGGGGUGCGGGGCCGGGCCGCCCCGCCGCACUUUGCACCUGUUCACCCAGCGCUCAUGAAAAAUGCAUCCACCUCCGAGCCGGAGCGAAGGAGGUCCCGGUGCAGGCAGAUCCCAGCGGAGGCAAAACGGGGCUGGUGGAGGGUCCUCUUAUCCUUCCACUGUACGUGAUCAGUCUCUUUAAUAAUUGUGCAGGGCAGGACUAUCCCACUGGCUCCAGCAGCUUCUUACCCGGAGACGGUUCGGGUGGAUAAAUAAUUAAAAUCCUAUCCCUCGGCUUCGCGAAAAUAUUGACUCGGAUCCUUCUUCUUUUCCAUACAUCAGCUGCACCCGGAUUCACCCCGGAUAGAGCAGGUGAAGGGGAAAAAAAAAAAAAAAAAAAAAAAAGAAAAAGAAGAAAAAAAAGCCCACCCUCCUCCACCCCGGCAGCCCUCGGCUGUCUUCUCGAAAGGCGCUCUGUCUCUGUCCUGGCGGGUUGUGCCUCUCCCCAAAGCCGCCUCGCCGAGCAGGAUGGAGGAAGCACUGAAGGGCAAACUGGUCUGUUUGCUCCCCCUUUAUUCCAGGGCUGGGCGGCUUUGCUUUAGAAAUCCCCACUCCGGGCAUGAAGGUACUGGAAAGAAAGAAAGUUCUUACCUGCUAUUUUCUAAGCCUAAUACAUCCGAUCUGCGUUUUAAGUACAUAUUUUUUAAUUAAAAAACAAUAAAAAAAUCAACGGUCUCGGACCAUUUCACUUCCUCAUAUUCAGUCCCACUGAAUUUUCAGAUGCCCUUUUAGGAAUUUCCCUCUAUUUAUUUACUUAGCAAUCCCAGCAGAUGGAGAAAAAAAAAAAAAAAAAGAAAAAAAAAAAUCACCAAAAAAACAGGUAUAUACGAGAUAGGCUCGGAUAUUGGACCAGAGGAGAGAGAGAUCAGUCCCAGGAGGAUGUUGGUAAAGGCAAGGAGGCGGCUCUCGUUGCUCUGCCAGUGUAAUGAUGGUGCUCACACAUGUAGGACUCCUCGGGUGCGGGGUAUCCUUUGGUCUCUGGGCUAAACUGGCUACAAGGCAUUCAAUGGGGAUUUUUGAUUUGCGUUGGUGAAAGGUAUGGAUGUUUUAUUACUGCUUCCAUUAAUCACUUGGCCAGAAGUCCUAGGAGAAUCCUGGAGCUCCACCAUGCCAGGCAAUGGAUCAGCACAGCGCACAAAAAUGAUGCUUACCAUAAAAAAUUUGUCAUCUAAAUAAGACUGAAAAUCCUCCUAGCUGAACCGAGAGAAGAUGUGCCGAGGAAUAAAGAAACCACAGCUCCAAUUGAUUUGCUUUAAACUGCGUGCCUGCUAGCGCUUUUCCUCUCUUCUGGAGAGAAUUUCAGUGGAAGUCUCUUGUCAUGCCCUUCACAGCCGCUGGUGAUGGCAGUACCGAUGAGCACUGGCAGCCCUAUGGCUUGUGGAGGCAGAAGCCACUGUUCACGCACGGCCUGGGCUCGUCUGCGCUGUCUUCCUUCGGUCUCGGCUACGUGACAACAUCUCCUGAGCGGUUGGAUGAUCAGUCACCUCACUACGGUUGGGGAGGGGAAAAUAGUUGCCGUUCCACAUAUUAUCGGGAAAGGACUGCUCUAGAAAGUUGUUCUUAACGUUAUCUCCAAGACGUUUGCUGCUUAGGAGAUCAGAAAGUAGAGAGGUGGCUACUUGGUGGUAUUAACAUAUGAGAACUGCAAGCAAAUGAAUGCCUCCUGCUUUUUGAUUUAUCUACUGAAGCAAGCCUGCCUAUCCUAUCUAUCUAUCUAUCUAUCUAUCUAUCUAUCUAUCUGUAUCUAUCGUGAAGCAAAGCCUAAACUAUUCAUUAUUGUCGAAUACAAAUGCUUCCUACAAAUUCUCUCUUGUUUCCAGUUCCAGUGUUCUCUAUUUUUUUCAGUAGGCUUUGGUCAGUUACUGCUGAGUUUGGAAAAUUAAGAGGGGGUAAACCAAGGCAACAACUCAGAGAUGGAUUAUAAGAACAUACUAGAUUGCUAAACCUUUGGGGAAGGAGGCUGAAUGUUCCUGGGUUUAUAAAGAAAUGGGAGAAUGGUGCUAUAAUUCUGGUUAGGAACUCUUCACAUAGAGUGAUGUUGAUGACACUGAUGAGAAUAAUGUUGGGAUACGUUCCAUCUGUGCCUUUUAAUGAUCUUGUUUGGAGGCAUUUGGAAUCUCUUAUGGAAAAUACUCAAACUCACUUGCCCUCACUGCAGUUAGAAAAAUUCAGACUCGGCUUUGUUCUACAAAGCUGCUUUGCUUUAAGUAGCAGUUCUGCAAAACAUAACUUCACAUAUUUCUUUUACUCUAUGCUUUAUUACUGAGGAUAUUUGCGUGAAAACAGGGUCUUUGUUUAAAAGUUCCUGCUUCUUAUUCAUCACAGCUCGUUGGGUUGGAAGCAAUUGUGAUUCCCUCUACAGAAGGCUUCGAUCCCUUCAGAGCAGGAAUAG